Salvelinus sp. IW2-2015 is the source of this 320-nucleotide long non-coding RNA. RefSeq lists it as uncharacterized. NCBI's taxonomy places the organism in Eukaryota, Metazoa, Chordata, Actinopteri, Salmoniformes, Salmonidae. The record is from RefSeq and is a predicted model, not a curated record.
URCACCUGGUCAGUCUACGUCAUGGAAAGAGCAUUUGUUCUUAAUGUUUUGUACACUCAGUGUAUCUGUGUUAGUAUCAUGUCCCACAUGGUGUCACCCCAACAUAGCAUCAGGCACAGCCAGAUAAUUGAUGCUUUGUCACUUGGAGCUUCAUGAUGCAGCCCCUGAUGAUGCAGCCCCUGAUGAUGCAGUCCCUGAUGAUGCAGUCCCUGAUGAUGCAGUCCCUGAUGAUGCAGUCCCUGAUGAUGCAGUCCCUGAUGUAAAAUUUCAAUUCUUAGGAAAUCAUUUGGAAUGAAAAAUAAAAUCUCUGAAACAAAGAA